UAUUAUUAUUAUUUUACUUAUAUAUUUACCCCUUUAAAUAUAGGUUUUUUAAUUGUUGUUGUUAUUUUGUACCCCCUUAGCUCCGUGCCCUGUGCAGCGGAACCACCCACACCAUCCUACCACUCUGGUGCCGCUCUGCAAUUUUAUGAUUCAAAUGUAUAAUUAUGUUUAUAAAAUGGGUCACUAUAGGCUCAUGAAGAAGCUAGAGUUCCUUGGAACACGUGGCAAGUCCCAGUGCUUCUGAGAACAUUUCCCCUUAUCAGUUUAUAAUUUAGGCUGCAAUUGUGCAGCAUACAAUUUCUGAUUAUUAUUCAUAUAUUUGUUUUAUCUAUGUAUUUUAUUCGUCAGAUGGCGGACACAGGGCCAGCCCCACCAUUAGGAAGAGUGAGGCAGCUCUCAGGUGCAGCAGAAAUUCUAGCCCACCAUCAGUAGAGGAGGUGCCAUAUUGUCCUUUCGCCUCAGGCAGCAAAGUGUAUUGGGCAGCCACACAGUUAUUGACUGUAGGAUGCCCAGGCCUAACACCCACCUGUUCCUUGGUGAAAACUUAAUUCAUCUCAACCCAAACUUCCAAUUUAAGACUCAUCCACACUGCCUCAUAUCCUGCUGCUCUCCCUUGGGAAAAGCCACUCUUUAGUGCUCCAUCGGAACAAUUGGCAAUCUGGAUUUCCAGCUGAACACUAAAGAGGGGGUUUAAGGAGCAGGCAAGUGGAAGUGUGAACGAGCCCUUAGAAAACAGGUACAGUGGUGCCCCACAAGACGAAUGCCUCGCAAGACGGAAAACUCGCUAGACGAAAGGGUUUUCCGUUUUUUGAGCUGCUUCGCAAGACGAAUUUCCCUAUGGGCUUGCUUUGCAAGACGAAAACGUCUUGCAAGUUUGUUUCCUUUUUCGUAAAACCGUUAAUACCCAGGGUGCAUUGCUUGAAGAGGUGCAGUUGCGACUUGACUUCGAGGAGCAACACAUUGCACGUGGUGUGGUAGCCUUUUCUGAGGUUUUUGAGGACUUUGCUGAUUUUUGAAGCUUUUCCAAAACUUCUUUUGCAGCCGUUUGGUAAGUUAAAACUUUUUUGGGGGUUUUUGGAUUUUGGGUUGGGGUGUUUGGAAUUCAAGGACUUGGUGUUGGGGAGGGGUUUGCAAGAAUCUGGGAGCUUGUGUGGUUUUUUUUGAAUUUUUAUGAUUUUCUGUGACCAUUGGGGCACUCUGCUGUUUGUUUGUUUUUAAUUCUGGGUUUGAAUUUCUGUGUGGUCGGUGGCUGGGGGAACAGUUGAGGAGGGGUUUGCAAGAAUCUGGGAGCUUGUGUGGUUUUUUUUCUGCAUUUUUAUGAUUUUCUGUGACCAUUGGGCCAUGUUGUUUUUUUCAAAAAAAUUUCUGAGUUUGAAUUUCUGUGUGGUGGGUGGCUGGGGGAACAGUUGAGGAGGGGUUUGCAAGAAUCUGGGAGCUUGUGUGGUUUUUUUUGAAUUUUUAUGAUUUUCUGUGACCAUUGGGCCAUGUUGUUUUUUUAAAAAAAAAAUUCUGAGUUUGAAUUUCUGUGUGGUGGGUGGCUGGGGGAACAGUUGAGGAGGGGUUUGCAACAGUUGGGGAGGGGUUUGCAAUUUCUGUGUGGUGGGUGGGUGGCUGGGGGAACAGUUGAGGUUUUUGAAGACUUUGGUGAUUUUUAAAGCUUUUCCAAAACUUCUUUUGCAGCCAUUUGAGGAUUUUGAAGACUUUGGUGAUUUGCAGCCACUUCGUAAGUUAAACUUUUAAAACUUUUUUGGGGGUUUUUGGAUUUUGGGUUGGGUGUUUGGAAUUCAAGGACUUGGUUCUGGGUUUGAAUUCCUGUGUGGUGGGUGGCUGGGUGCUUUUGAAUUUUUUGGGUGUGAAGCACUGAUUAUUAUUUUUUUUCCCUGAGUUUACGAAGCUAGGAGCUGUGCUGCCAUGGGACCCAAGAAGACUGCUGCUGCAGAGGCCGGCGAGAGGAAGAAGGAGAAGGUGACGCCGGAAAUGAAUAAGGAGAUCAUCCGGAAGCACGACGGUGGAAUGCGUGUGACAGACCUCGCCAGGGAGUACGGCAGGAACCCAUCGACCAUCGGCACCAUCCUGAAGAUGAGGGAGAAGAUCCUUGCGACUGAUGCAGCCAAGGGAGUCACCAGGAUCGUGAAGAACCGCCCAGCUGUUCUGGAGGAGGUCGAGAAGUUGCUGCUCAUCUGGUUAGAAGAGAAGCAGCGUGCAGGGGACACAGUGACUGAGGGCGUGAUUUGUGAGAAGGCCAAGGCCUUGCACGCAGACCUCAUCCGGGAACAGCCAAGAACCUCAGGCGAGCCAGAAGUCUUCAAGGCAAGCAGAGGCUGGUUUGACCAGUUCAAGACAAGAUCUGGAAUCCACAGCGUGGUCAGGCAUGGAGAGGCUGCCAGUUCUGAUGUUCCUGCGGCUGAAGACUUUGCAGCGGAGUUCCUGGAGGUUGUGUCCUCCAAAGAACUGAGGGACAUUUGCCAGAAGUGGAAAGAUGUGCAGGCUUUUGCACAGCGGCACCACCCUGACAAGGACCUGACACGUGACCUUGCGAACACUUUUGAUACGAGGGUCAUGUCGUCUUUCAGGGAGGUGCUGAAAAGGCGGAUGAAGCAGCAGACCAUGGACAGGUUCUUCAGCAAGAAGCAAAGAGUGGAAGAGGAACCUUCUUCGAGUUGUCCCCCAGAGUCUUAGAAAAUGUACUGUACACUUUGAUGAUUUUUAAAUGUUUUUCUGUCAUGUUUAGAAACUUAAUUUAUUGUUCCUUCAAUUUUUGAAAUGCUCUUUACAGUAUGUGUGACUUUAAAGAGCACUUAAUAAACUCUUGUUGUACCAAA
Molecule: long non-coding RNA, 2822 nt
Filed under: Podarcis lilfordi (Lilford's wall lizard)
Lineage: Eukaryota; Metazoa; Chordata; Lepidosauria; Squamata; Lacertidae
Source: RNAcentral